CGCACAGUAAACGAUGACAACUGGCUGUCGGCGAUAUACCGAUCGGUAGCGAAGCGAAAGCGUUAAGUUGUCCACCUGGGGAGUACGACCGCAAGGUUGAAACUCAAAGGAAUUGACGGGGGCCCGCACAAGCGGAGGAACAUGUGGUUUAAUUCGAUGAUACGCGAGGAACCUUACCCGGGCUUGAAUUGCAGAGGAACAUAGUUGAAAGAUUAUGGCCGCAAGGUCUCUGUGAAGGUGC
This 241-nucleotide ribosomal RNA is filed under the name uncultured bacterium. Its description in RNAcentral is "partial 16S ribosomal RNA". It matches the Rfam family "Bacterial small subunit ribosomal RNA", at positions 796 to 1041 of the family's 1533-position model. The record is from RNAcentral.